UACGGAGGGUGCAAACGCUGCUCGGAAUCAUUGGGCGUAAAGCGCACGUAGGCGGCCUGAUAAGUCGGAUGUGAAAUCCCUCGGCUCAACUGAGGACGUGCAUUCGAAACUGCCAGGCUCGAGUAUGGAAGAGGGUCGCGGAAUUCCCGGUGUAGAGGUGAAAUUCGUAGAUAUCGGGAGGAACACCAGUGGCGAAGGCGGCGACCUGGGCCAAUACUGACGCUGAGGUGCGAAAGCGUGGGGAGCAAACAGG
RNAcentral lists this ribosomal RNA (253 nucleotides) under uncultured bacterium. Its description in RNAcentral is "partial 16S ribosomal RNA". It matches the Rfam family "Bacterial small subunit ribosomal RNA", at positions 524 to 776 of the family's 1533-position model. The record is from RNAcentral.